This 817-nucleotide ribosomal RNA is filed under the name Triticum aestivum (bread wheat). Its description in RNAcentral is "partial small subunit ribosomal RNA". The record is from RNAcentral. Lineage: Eukaryota; Viridiplantae; Streptophyta; Magnoliopsida; Poales; Poaceae.
GCCGCCGCCUACCUCCUCCACCACCACCCCCUCGAAUUACUCCCCCUCCCUCUGGAUUCACUUACUGGAUCCGGAAGGAUUUGAUCACCUCUCGCUCGCUCACAGCCGUUGAUUGCCAUCCUGUGCCUUGUCGUGUCUUUGAUCCAACCCCAAGAACCAUCAAGGUAUCGAGGGAGGGUUUGGGCCCCGGAUCCCUUUCUUUUGCAGCCGUUGUGAAGCAAGGAUUGGCGAUGUCUGACCGGAGGAUUGCUGGUGCGGGAUCUGGAGCAGGCGGCCCCUCGAAGGCUGUUGCUCAGAGAGUCAACUCGCAAGGACGGAGGAGGCAACCAUCUGCCCCGACCUCGAAGGAUCCGGUGCCGGCAGCAAAGCCUACCAGAUCCACAGCCUCUACGGCUGCCUCAUCCCAGGUUCAAUCUUCUCAAUUUGUAGAGGUGGAGAUGGAGCAAGUUUUAGAUCCCAAGUACAAGGACAUGAUCUGUUUCAACUGUGGUGGUCCAGAGCAACUGUGGUGGUCCAGGACAUGAUCCUUUGACGUGGAGUGGAAGACCAUCUUUCACCACAAACAGGCAAACCGUACUCAAGCACAUAUGCAGCAAAUUAGGAAAUGUAUGUUAGGGAUUGAAGAGCCGGCCGGGAUGAAUUCAGAGGUGUAUGUGUAAUUGUGUAUAUGUAUGUACGUAAGCGUAAUUUUUCUUAGUUGACAUAGAGUUUGUUUCGACGCACAAGAGAUAGAAGAGAGGAAAAAUAAGAGGUUCUAUUCGGAACAAAAUUAAAGAAAAAUUAGAGGUUCGACUCUAUGAAAAAAAAAAUACUCCCU